GACGAACGCUGGCGGCGUGCCUAAUACAUGCAAGUCGAACGAACUCUGGUAUUGAUUGGUGCUUGCAUCAUGAUUUACAUUUGAGUGAGUGGCGAACUGGUGAGUAACGCGUGGGAAACCUGCCCAGAAGCGGGGGAUAACACCUGGAAACAGAUGCUAAUACCGCAUAACAACUUGGACCGCAUGGUCCGAGUUUGAAAGAUGGCUUCGGCUAUCACUUUUGGAUGGUCCCGCGGCGUAUUAGCUAGAUGGUGGGGUAACGGCUCACCAUGGCAAUGAUACGUAGCCGACCUGAGAGGGUAAUCGGCCACAUUGGGACUGAGACACGGCCCAAACUCCUACGGGAGGCAGCAGUAGGGAAUCUUCCACAAUGGACGAAAGUCUGAUGGAGCAACGCCGCGUGAGUGAAGAAGGGUUUCGGCUCGUAAAACUCUGUUGUUAAAGAAGAACAUAUCUGAGAGUAACUGUUCAGGUAUUGACGGUAUUUAACCAGAAAGCCACGGCUAACUACGUGCCAGCAGCCGCGGUAAUACGUAGGUGGCAAGCGUUGUCCGGAUUUAUUGGGCGUAAAGCGAGCGCAGGCGGUUUUUUAAGUCUGAUGUGAAAGCCUUCGGCUCAACCGAAGAAGUGCAUCGGAAACUGGGAAACUUGAGUGCAGAAGAGGACAGUGGAACUCCAUGUGUAGCGGUGAAAUGCGUAGAUAUAUGGAAGAACACCAGUGGCGAAGGCGGCUGUCUGGUCUGUAACUGACGCUGAGGCUCGAAAGUAUGGGUAGCAAACAGGAUUAGAUACCCUGGUAGUCCAUACCGUAAACGAUGAAUGCUAAGUGUUGGAGGGUUUCCGCCCUUCAGUGCUGCAGCUAACGCAUUAAGCAUUCCGCCUGGGGAGUACGGCCGCAAGGCUGAAACUCAAAGGAAUUGACGGGGGCCCGCACAAGCGGUGGAGCAUGUGGUUUAAUUCGAAGCUACGCGAAGAACCUUACCAGGUCUUGACAUACUAUGCAAAUCUAAGAGAUUAGACGUUCCCUUCGGGGACAUGGAUACAGGUGGUGCAUGGUUGUCGUCAGCUCGUGUCGUGAGAUGUUGGGUUAAGUCCCGCAACGAGCGCAACCCUUAUUAUCAGUUGCCAGCAUUAAGUUGGGCACUCUGGUGAGACUGCCGGUGACAAACCGGAGGAAGGUGGGGAUGACGUCAAAUCAUCAUGCCCCUUAUGACCUGGGCUACACACGUGCUACAAUGGAUGGUACAACGAGUUGCGAACUCGCGAGAGUAAGCUAAUCUCUUAAAGCCAUUCUCAGUUCGGAUUGUAGGCUGCAACUCGCCUACAUGAAGUCGGAAUCGCUAGUAAUCGCGGAUCAGCAUGCCGCGGUGAAUACGUUCCCGGGCCUUGUACACACCGCCCGUCACACCAUGAGAGUUUGUAACACCCAAAGUCGGUGGGGUAACCUUUUAGGAACCAGCCGCCUAAGGUGGGACAGAUGAUUAGGGUG
Molecule: ribosomal RNA, 1489 nt
Filed under: Lactiplantibacillus plantarum
Lineage: Bacteria; Bacillati; Bacillota; Bacilli; Lactobacillales; Lactobacillaceae
Description: bacterial SSU rRNA
Rfam family: Bacterial small subunit ribosomal RNA
Source: RNAcentral